UGAGGAAUAUUGGUCAAUGGACGAGAGUCUGAACCAGCCAAGUAGCGUGAAGGAUGACUGCCCUAUGGGUUGUAAACUUCUUUUAUAUGGGAAUAAAGUGAGCCACGUGUGGCUUUUUGUAUGUACCAUAUGAAUAAGGAUCGGCUAACUCCGUGCCAGCAGCCGCGGUAAUACGGAGGAUCCGAGCGUUAUCCGGAUUUAUUGGGUUUAAAGGGAGCGUAGGCGGGUUGUUAAGUCAGUUGUGAAAGUUUGCGGCUCAACCGUAAAAUUGCAGUUGAUACUGGCAUCCUUGAGUACAGUAGAGGUAGGCGGAAUUCGUGGUGUAGCGGUGAAAUGCUUAGAUAUCACGAAGAACUCCGAUUGCGAAGGCGGCUUUCUGGACUGUAACUGACACUGAGGCACGAAAGUGUGGGGAGCAAACAGG
This 424-nucleotide ribosomal RNA is filed under the name uncultured bacterium. Its description in RNAcentral is "bacterial SSU rRNA". It matches the Rfam family "Bacterial small subunit ribosomal RNA", at positions 355 to 776 of the family's 1533-position model. The record is from RNAcentral.